GACGAACGCUGGCGGCGUGCCUAACACAUGCAAGUCGAGCGGAGACAAUAGCAAUAUUGUUUUAGCGGCGGACGGGUGAGUAACGCGUGGGCAACCUGCCUUGGACUGGGGGAUAACACAGGGAAACUUGUGCUAAUACCGCAUAACAUCACGAGAGGACAUCCUUUUGUGAUCAAAGGAGUAAUCCGGUCUGAGAUGGGCCCGCGUCCGAUUAGCUAGUUGGUAGUGUAACAGACUACCAAGGCGACGAUCGGUAGCCGAACUGAGAGGUUGAUCGGCCACAUUGGGACUGAGACACGGCCCAGACUCCUACGGGUGGCUG
This 322-nucleotide ribosomal RNA is filed under the name uncultured Bacillota bacterium. RNAcentral describes it as "bacterial SSU rRNA". It matches the Rfam family "Bacterial small subunit ribosomal RNA", at positions 28 to 351 of the family's 1533-position model. The record is from RNAcentral. Lineage: Bacteria; Bacillati; Bacillota.